Long non-coding RNA from Panthera uncia (snow leopard), 1401 nucleotides. RefSeq lists it as uncharacterized. The transcript is spliced from 2 exons. The record is from RefSeq and is a predicted model, not a curated record. Lineage: Eukaryota; Metazoa; Chordata; Mammalia; Carnivora; Felidae.
GCUUCCCUGGCCUCCCCGCCUCCAGAGGCAUCUGCCUCUCUGGGGAAGCUCUGGCUGGAGGAGAGAAGGAGAGGAAAUAGAGAACCCUCCAGAGCACGUGCGGGUUACAGCAUCUUCCAGAGGGCUCCCUUGUCCUGUCCGCAGCCUCCAGAUCCCUGCGUCCUGCCCCAGCCCCCGGAUGGCGGUGACAGCAGCCCUGUUCACCAGCAAACACUCCCCACUAUGUGCUGCCCUUCGGAGUAACUUGAUAACCUGCGCCGUCACUGCCGGGAUGGGUUAACCAUCGUGAACAAUAGUGAUUUGCCACAUUUUUCGUGUUACACUGCUGAGCUGCGGUCCUGGCUUGAGGAGGGGCUGGCAGAGCCGGGGGAACCCUGAGGGCUGAGUCAUUAACGGAGUGAUUAACAGUCCUCAGCCUGGUGGCACGAGAGACCCCAGCCGGGAGGGGGGGGGUGUGGCUUCCUGAGGUCUGAGGGUGGGGGCCCAGCUCCAAGCUGGCAAGGCAUCGGGCAGGGGACUCCCGGAAGCUGACCUGAGGUCAUGGGGCACCUCUGUCUGCCCUCCUCCCAAGCCGUGAGCCCAACUCCCCCAAAGGCAGAUAGGAUCCAGUGCUGUGCUUGGGGUAUUCGGAGAGCACUUUCUGAGGGUAUCUUCCCCAGACGUGUUCCAGGUUUUGCCCCCAAAGCUGCAGGCUGUGGAGAGAUGCUGGGAUGGGUCCUUCCUGGAUGGGCUGGCGUGUGGCUGGUCAACAUGGGACCCACCCUACUGCCCAAGCCCUUCUCCACCUUAGGCCACCUUGCUGUUCGGGAAACGCUUUACGGCCGCAUCUCCCGGCCCCCCUGCCCACUGGCUCCUGUGCUGACCGCCCAGUCUUGGUGGGCGUCCCCUCCCGGGUCCCCAGCCCACAGGGGGCUGGAGGAAAGAGUGCUCCUUGCCUGUCGCUUCAGGAGAGCCUGUUUCCUGCUGGUAGCCUGGGAGAUACAGCGGCAGGAAGCGAGAGGGACCUCGCCACGGCCCCCGAAGACAGCCGUGAGCCCAGACGCACACGGGCCAGAGGCGAGAGGUGCUCCCGAGUCCUUUCCCUGAAAACCUCUCAGACGCCGGCUCUGCUCAGCACCGCCCACGCCGUGCCGUUGGCAACAGCACCCAGCGCCCACACGGAAGCCGCACCAUCACCACGGCAACGCCCACUGGGCACCGAACGCAGUGCCGUGGACUGGCCGUGUAAUCUGUGGGGCCCGGUGCAAAACUCAAAACGUGGAAACGGUGCCGUUACAGGCACCAAAUGAGAGGGGUUUUUUUCCUUCCACAGCCUUCCUCCCUCCGUCCCUUUCUGCUCACAGAGGGUUUUCCACUCGGUAUUUGAUGCCGUUCUAACUAAAUAAAAAAUCGAAAUUAUAA